Molecule: ribosomal RNA, 445 nt
Filed under: uncultured bacterium
Lineage: Bacteria
Description: partial 16S ribosomal RNA
Rfam family: Bacterial small subunit ribosomal RNA
Source: RNAcentral
GUGAGGAAUAUUAGUCAAUGGGCGAGAGCCUGAACCAGCCAAGUCGCGUGAAGGAAGAAGGAUCUAUGGUUCGUAAACUUCUUUUGCAGGGGAAUAAAGUGCAGGACGUGUCCUGUUUUGUAUGUACCCUGAGAAUAAGGAUCGGCUAACUCCGUGCCAGCAGCCGCGGUAAUACGGAGGAUCCGAGCGUUAUCCGGAUUUAUUGGGUUUAAAGGGUGCGUAGGUGGUUUGAUAAGUCAGCGGUGAAAGUUUGCAGCUUAACUGUAAAAAUGCCGUUGAAACUGUCGGACUUGAGUGUAAAUGAGGUAGGCGGAAUGCGUGGUGUAGCGGUGAAAUGCAUAGAUAUCACGCAGAACUCCGAUUGCGAAGGCAGCUUACUAAGCUACAACUGACACUGAAGCACGAAAGCGUGGGGAUCAAACAGGAUUAGAUACCCGAGUAGUCC